This 433-nucleotide ribosomal RNA is filed under the name uncultured bacterium. RNAcentral's name for it is "partial 16S ribosomal RNA". It matches the Rfam family "Bacterial small subunit ribosomal RNA", at positions 29 to 507 of the family's 1533-position model. The record is from RNAcentral.
AACGAACGCUGGCGGCAUGCCUAACACAUGCAAGUCGAACGAGACCUUCGGGUAUCGUGGCGCACGGGUGCGUAACGCGUGAGAACCUGCCCUUAGGUUCGGAAUAACUCCCCGAAAGGGGUGCUAAUACCGGAUAAGGUCUUCAGACCAAAGAUUUAUCGCCUUUGGAUGGGCCCGCGUUGGAUUAGCUAGUUGGUAGGGUAAACGCCUACCAAGGCGACGAUCCAUAGCUGGUCUGAGAGGAUGAUCAGCCACACUGGGACUGAGACACGGCCCAGACUCCUACGCGAGGGAGCAGUGGGGAAUAUUGGACAGUGGGGGAAAGCAUGAUGCAGCAAUGCCGGGUGAGUGAUGACGGCCGUAGGGUUGUAAAGCUCUUUUACCCGGGAGGAUAAUGACAGUACCGGGAGAAUAAGCUCCGGCUAACUCCGUG